GGAGGCUACAGCUCAGUGGUAGAGUGCAUAUGUAGCAUGCACAAGGUCCUGGGUUCAAUCCCCAGUACCUCCA
Molecule: non-coding RNA, 73 nt
Organism: Camelus ferus (Wild Bactrian camel)
Lineage: Eukaryota; Metazoa; Chordata; Mammalia; Artiodactyla; Camelidae
Source: Rfam